Long non-coding RNA from Cyprinus carpio carpio, 473 nucleotides. Lineage: Eukaryota; Metazoa; Chordata; Actinopteri; Cypriniformes; Cyprinidae. The record is from Ensembl.
GAAUAAUUGCCACCACUCUCUCCAAGUUGCAGUCAUUGGGAUUCUUGUAGUCAGACCUCCCUGGAGCACCCAAACAGAGUGGCUGGCAACCAAGCAGAACCGUGCAGUGAACAACACCUUUGAUCCCGGCCAUAUGGAGCUCCUCCAAGCAUUCCUCGGAUAGAGAAAUCCGUCACCUCGAUGCAGGGUGUAAAGUCCUGGUUUAAUGGCAACAGACUCUAUUGUGCUGCUACUAAUGACCACAAGAUAACAGUACUCAUCAAGGUCCAAGUCUAAUUCUUGACAUCAAGCUUUAAAUGUGUUUUCUGAAGUAUGGCUUGUAGUGAUUGCAUGUGGAGAUCUGUGCAUGACUAAAUGUUUAAAAUAAUAAAGAAAUCAAUCAAUGACAUAAAUUCAAAAUAGCUGACAAAACAUAAUAUCUACCUGUUUCUAUUCUAAGAGACCAAGACAGUUAAAAAAAUUGUCCUUGUUAC